Molecule: ribosomal RNA, 1022 nt
Filed under: Salmonella enterica subsp. enterica serovar Muenchen
Lineage: Bacteria; Pseudomonadati; Pseudomonadota; Gammaproteobacteria; Enterobacterales; Enterobacteriaceae
Description: partial 23S ribosomal RNA
Rfam family: Bacterial large subunit ribosomal RNA
Source: RNAcentral
AAUCCAUAGGUUAAUGAGGCGAACCGGGGGAACUGAAACAUCUAAGUACCCCGAGGAAAAGAAAUCAACCGAGAUUCCCCCAGUAGCGGCGAGCGAACGGGGAGGAGCCCAGAGCCUGAAUCAGCAUGUGUGUUAGUGGAAGCGUCUGGAAAGGCGCGCGAUACAGGGUGACAGCCCCGUACACAAAAGCGCAUGUGCUGUGAGCUCGAUGAGUAGGGCGGGACACGUGGUAUCCUGUCUGAAUAUGGGGGGACCAUCCUCCAAGGCUAAAUACUCCUGACUGACCGAUAGUGAACCAGUACCGUGAGGGAAAGGCGAAAAGAACCCCGGCGAGGGGAGUGAAAAAGAACCUGAAACCGUGUACGUACAAGCAGUGGGAGCACAGGUUUACCUGUGUGACUGCGUACCUUUUGUAUAAUGGGUCAGCGACUUAUAUUCUGUAGCAAGGUUAACCGUAUAGGGGAGCCGGAGGGAAACCGAGUCUUAACCGGGCGUUAAGUUGCAGGGUAUAGACCCGAAACCCGGUGAUCUAGCCAUGGGCAGGUUGAAGGUUGGGUAACACUAACUGGAGGACCGAACCGACUAAUGUUGAAAAAUUAGCGGAUGACCUGUGGCUGGGGGUGAAAGGCCAAUCAAACCGGGAGAUAGCUGGUUCUCCCCGAAAGCUAUUUAGGUAGCGCCUCGUGAAUUCAUCUCCGGGGGUAGAGCACUGUUUCGGCUAGGGGGCCAUCCCGGCUUACCAACCCGAUGCAAACUGCGAAUACCGGAGAAUGUUAUCACGGGAGACACACGGCGGGUGCUAACGUCCGUCGUGAAGAGGGAAACAACCCAGACCGCCAGCUAAGGUCCCAAAGUCAUGGUUAAGUGGGAAACGAUGUGGGAAGGCCCAGACAGCCAGGAUGUUGGCUUAGAAGCAGCCAUCAUUUAAAGAAAGCGUAAUAGCUCACUGGUCGAGUCGGCCUGCGCGGAAGAUGUAACGGGGCUAAACCAUGCACCGAAGCUGCGGCAGCGACACUGUGUGU